GAAUCCCGUCUUUGGUACGGACCCCCAGGGCUUCUGUGAUGCGCUCUCGAAGAGUCGAGUUGUUUGGGAAUGCAGCUCAAAAUGGGUGGUGAACUCCAUCUAAAGCUAAAUAUUGGCGAGAGACCGAUAGCGAACAAGUACCGUGAGGGAAAGAUGAAAAGCACUUUGGAAAGAGAGUGAAACAGUACGUGAAAUUGUUGAAAGGGAAACGCUUAAAGUCAGUCGCGUCGACCGAGACUCAGCCUCGCUCCGGCUUGGUGUAUUUCUCGGCCUGACGGGUCAGCGUCAAUUUGGUCCCUCGGAUAAUGGCAAGGGAAAGGUGGCACCUUUACGGGUGUGUUAUAGUCUUUUGUCGCAUGCGAGGGGCGAGAUUGAGGAACUCAGCACGCGCGCCCUUCUGGGUGUGUCGGGGCCUCGGCCCACGCCACGUGCUUAGGAUGCUGGCGUAAUGGCUUUAAACGACCCGUCUUGAAACACGGACCAAGGAGUCUAACAUGCCCGCGAGUGUUCGGGUGGAAAACCCGUGCGCGUAAUGAAAGUGAAAGUUGGGACCUUCGUCGUGAAGGGCACCGACGCCCGGACCAGACCUUCUGUGACGGAUCUGCGGUGGAGCGUGCAUGUUGGGACCCGAAAGAUGGUGAACUAUGCCUGAAUAGGGUGGAUCCAGAGGAAACUCUGGUGGAGGCUCGUAGCGAUUCUGACGUGCAAAUCGAUCGUCAAAUUUGGGUAUAGGGGCGAAAGACUAAUCGAACCAUCUAGUAGCUGGUUCCUGCC
Molecule: ribosomal RNA, 774 nt
Filed under: uncultured Russula
Lineage: Eukaryota; Fungi; Basidiomycota; Agaricomycetes; Russulales; Russulaceae
Description: eukaryotic LSU rRNA
Rfam family: Eukaryotic large subunit ribosomal RNA
Source: RNAcentral